This 849-nucleotide long non-coding RNA is filed under the name Citrus x clementina. RNAcentral describes it as "Citrus clementina (C. clementina) long non-coding RNA (CCLE_LNC002713)". Lineage: Eukaryota; Viridiplantae; Streptophyta; Magnoliopsida; Sapindales; Rutaceae. The record is from RNAcentral.
GUUAAGCAAAAAUUAAGCAAAGUGCAAUUUAGAGAAAAUUCAAGCCAAGAAAAGCUUAGAGGGUUCUUGCAAUGUGAAUUGAGAGGAUUUUCCGACUUUGUGAUCAUCCUCUGACCUUAAAUCAGUAGCGCAACCUUGGUUUAUCGGUUUUCCCCAUAUAAUCUGGGUAUGUGUUUAAAUUCGGGUUUUCAAGUUUUUUUUAUUCUUGCUCGAAAAUCAACAAAUUUCAAUUUUUUUCCUUUUUUUUUAAUUUAUCUUAUGUAGUGUAUUUUUCAUUUUUUGCAGGAGCAAGAUGCGGGCUGCAAAGCAACCUAUUUACCGAGGCUGAGAUUGCAAAAAGACCACUUAGAUCAAUGUAUGACAUAGUCCACUUAGAUGCUAAACAUUAAAAUUUAACAUGAAAAGCCCUUGAUUUAGUUCAAGGUUUAAAGUUACACUGUUGUUGCUGGACGUGAAUGAAUUUUUUUUUUUUUUUUGGGCACAGUCCACUUAGAUGCUAAACGUUAAAAUUUAACAUGAAAAGCCCUUGAUUUAGGUCAAGGUUUAAAGUUACACUGUUGUUGUUGCUGGACAUGAAUGAACUUUUUUUUCCCUUUCUGACUAUGUUCAAUAUCCUAGAGGAUAAAAUAGAAAGCUGAGAUACAACGGUGCAAAAGCAAUAUAUAAUUUGCUGAAGAUAUUCAACAGCGUAAGUCAUGAAAGGAAAUCCGCUAUUGAGACCCUGCGCCACUAGUGACUGCAGAUCCUUCAACAAUUGUUUCAUCUCCUGAUUUCUAAACAACAUCUUUCAACCCAGUCGAAAGGUUUUUUUAAAACUUGUGGAAUUCUAAGGUUUUUUUUGGGGGGGGG